UACGUAGGGGGCAAGCGUUGUCCGGAAUCAUUGGGCGUAAAGCGCGCGUAGGCGGCCCGGUAAGUCCGCUGUAAAAGUCCAGGGCUCAACCCUGGAAAGCCGGUGGAUACUGUCGGGCUAGAGUCCGGAAGAGGUGAGUGGAAUUCCGAGUGUAGAGGUGAAAUUCGUAGAUAUUCGGAGGAACACCAGUGGCGAAGGCGGCUCACUGGUCCGGUACUGACGCUGAGGUGCGAAAGCGUGGGGAGCAAACGGG
This 253-nucleotide ribosomal RNA is filed under the name uncultured bacterium. Its description in RNAcentral is "partial 16S ribosomal RNA". It matches the Rfam family "Bacterial small subunit ribosomal RNA", at positions 524 to 776 of the family's 1533-position model. The record is from RNAcentral.